GUGAACGCUGGCGGUAGGCCUAACACAUGCAAGUCGAACGGCAGCACAGUAAGAGCUUGCUCUUACGGGUGGCGAGUGGCGGACGGGUGAGGAAUACAUCGGAAUCUACUUUUUCGUGGGGGAUAACGUAGGGAAACUUACGCUAAUACCGCAUACGACCUACGGGUGAAAGCAGGGGAUCUUCGGACCUUGCGCGAUUGAAUGAGCCGAUGUCGGAUUAGCUAGUUGGCGGGGUAAAGGCCCACCAAGGCGACGAUCCGUAGCUGGUCUGAGAGGAUGAUCAGCCACACUGGAACUGAGACACGGUCCAGACUCCUACGGGAGGCAGCAGUGGGGAAUAUUGGACAAUGGGCGCAAGCCUGAUCCAGCCAUACCGCGUGGGUGAAGAAGGCCUUCGGGUUGUAAAGCCCUUUUGUUGGGAAAGAAAAGCAGCAGGUUAAUACCCCGCUAUUCUGACGGUACCCAAAGAAUAAGCACCGGCUAACUUCGUG
RNAcentral lists this ribosomal RNA (491 nucleotides) under uncultured bacterium. RNAcentral describes it as "partial 16S ribosomal RNA". It matches the Rfam family "Bacterial small subunit ribosomal RNA", at positions 29 to 507 of the family's 1533-position model. The record is from RNAcentral.